RNAcentral lists this RNase P RNA (427 nucleotides) under Alloprevotella sp. Its description in RNAcentral is "RNase P RNA component class A". It matches the Rfam family "Bacterial RNase P class A". Rfam says of the family: Ribonuclease P (RNase P) is a ubiquitous endoribonuclease, found in archaea, bacteria and eukarya as well as chloroplasts and mitochondria. Its best characterised activity is the generation of mature 5'-ends of tRNAs by cleaving the 5'-leader elements of precursor-tRNAs. The record is from RNAcentral. Lineage: Bacteria; Pseudomonadati; Bacteroidota; Bacteroidia; Bacteroidales; Prevotellaceae.
GCAGUUGGGCAGUCCGUCGCUUUUGCUUUUAUGGCAAACGAGGAAAGUCCGGGCAACAUAGAGCAUUCCGCUUCUUAAUGGGAAGUCGUUCGUGAGAGCGAAUCCGUGCAGAAGAAAAUAACCGCCACUUUUCAGCACGCAGCCGCAAGGUUGUUGGUCAGCAAUGGCAAGUGUUGUGGGAGGUAAGGGUGAGAAGGUGGGGUAAGAGCCCACCAGUCGUGUGGCGACAUACGAGCUGUGCACCUCGGAAGUUGAAAGUUCAUGUAAACUGGUGUCAUCAGGGCGGCUCGUCCGAGUGUUUUCGAGCACACAUCAGAGGGUAGAACGAUAGAGUGUGUUGGUGACAGCACAUCCAGAUAAAUGACGGACACCUUGUCCUUUUGAUAAAGAUAAGGCACAAAACCCGGCUUAUCGUCCAACUGCUUUC